GACGAACGCUGGCGGCGUGCUUAACACAUGCAAGUCGAACGGAAAGGCCUCUUUCGGGGGGUACUCGAGUGGCGAACGGGUGAGUAACACGUGAGUAACCUGCCCUUGACUUUGGGAUAACUUCAGGAAACUGGGGCUAAUACCGGAUAGGAGCUCCUGCUGCAUGGUGGGGGUUGGAAAGUUUCGGCGGUUGGGGAUGGACUCGCGGCUUAUCAGCUUGUUGGUGGGGUAGUGGCUUACCAAGGCUUUGACGGGUAGCCGGCCUGAGAGGGUGACCGGCCACAUUGGGACUGAGAGACGGCCCAGACUCCUACGGGAGGCAGCAGUGGGGAAUAUUGCACAAGGGGUGGAAGCCUGAUGCAGCAACGCCGUGUGCGGGAUGACGGCCUUCGGGUUGUAAACCGCUUUCGCUCAUGACGAAGCUCUGUGUGACGGUAGUGGGUAAAGAAGCACCGGCUAACUACGUG
This 467-nucleotide ribosomal RNA is filed under the name uncultured bacterium. Its description in RNAcentral is "partial 16S ribosomal RNA". It matches the Rfam family "Bacterial small subunit ribosomal RNA", at positions 28 to 507 of the family's 1533-position model. The record is from RNAcentral.